AGGGACCCUGCAGAGCUGAAACUUAGAGAUGUGAAGAGGGAGUGCUCCUCAGCUGGCGUUGGUGAGAGGAGUUGAAAGGAGUCCCAUGGACCUGAGACCUGAAAAGGAGACACUUCUAAAAAUGAGGUGUGGGGCAGCUCCCACCCCCUGGCCACUGCUCCAUGGAAACCUCAUAGGACUGAAAGGCCACCAUCAAAAAUGCGGCUACCAGAGGCUGAAAGGAAGAUGGCGGCGUGAGCAGACGUUGAACUCGCCUCCUCCCAGGAACACAACCAGGUUGCAACAAUUUUUGGAAGAAUUACCCUGGAUUGAAAACUGGAAACUGGAUAAAAAGAACUCCCAUGACAAGAGACACUCCUGAUGAAGGCAGAAGAGGCAGUAAUUCCGACCAGAGAGGAAAAAAGCCACCUUUGGGAGCAGCGGAGCUUCUCAGCUGGCCAGGCGGGAGCCAACCUAAGGAUCCCAUCCAGGACGUCACAGUCAUUACAUCUAGUCGUCAAGUUUCUUUAGGUUCUUCUUGGCUGUGACAGUUUCUCAGACUUUCCUUGUUUUUAAAGACGACAUUUUGAGGCGUACUGGUCAGUUCUUUCAACAAUCCUUUUUCAAUAAACAAGCGUGAAGUUCCUGUUUCCUUUUGCUUUCAACAAAGAAGAGAAAAGAAGCAGACACAACAAAGUAAAUUCAAAAGAUACAGACCCCUAGGAGAAGGAAGAAGGGGUUUCACAUCUUCCUUUCCAUGUAGUUCCCAGGAGGGAAAGUUCCUUCCAUGUCACCUUGCAAAGAGAGGAUAGCCAUCCAGCACAUCUGUGUCCUCCAGAAAUGGGUCAAACUCUGGCACCAAUAAAGAGAAGGAUCAAAGGAGUCCAGGGAAAGUCUUGGGUGAAGGUGGAAUUAUCCACAAGCCCCUCAAGAUAUCAAGAUACCAUUGUGAACGUUGCCAGUGCUUGUAAAGCGGCCUGUGGAUCUUUCAAUAAAGCAGCAUCAAGUAAGAGGCAGUGCCCGUCAUUUCCUAGAAGCGCUGGAAGUAUGUUGGUGGGACCACCUUGCCAAGAAGGGGACUCAGCAAAGUGUGUGGUCUGAAAGGCACCAAUAAAUGGAUAGAGGGAAAGAGAGCCAGAACAACUGCCUGGGGUUUCCUUCUGAUGGUCCUCAGAGGCUGCUUACUCCAGAAAGCCCUCCCUGGUCCCUGGGCUAGCCUGGGCUGGGCAUCUCUAUGCACAUAAGGCUGUGAACUCUCAUUCACUUAUCAACAAAUAUUUACUCAUCCCCUAAUAUGAGUCAAGCACUGAGCUAGGUGCUAAGGAUAAACAGAGGAAUUAUACCCUGAGAUCUCAAAACUCACAUCCCAAGAAAUGGAGAAGGAGGGUGAGGGAUCACAAACAUAUCACAUGCAAUUACAAUACCUAAGUCGAUAGAUGACAACAGGCGAGACAGAAUAAGAACUGCUCAGGCUAGGAGGCAAAGGAAGGCAGUGUGGACAAGGAGGCAUCUAAGCAGAGUCUUAAAGGAUGACAAUUAACCCUCCAAUUCCGCUCCUUGACCGUUCUUCAUACGAUCUAUUACAAUAUUACCAUUUUCUUCUCUUUCCUUUACUCAGCUACUUUUUUCUCCUUAAUUUCUCUUAUAGACACAUUUUUGACUUGCUCACUGUAUCAGUCAAGGUGCCACCAGAAAAACAGAACCAGUAGGAUAUAUAUAAAGGGAUAGAAGGUAUAUAUAGAGAGAGAUGAAGAUACAGAGAGAAAGAUUUAUUGCAAGGAAUUGGCAUAUGCAAUUGUAGGAGUUGGCUAGGCAAGUCUGAAAUCCUUGAGGCAGGCUGUCGGGGAGGAAGGCUGGAAACCCUCCUGCAGGAGCCGAUGCUGCAGUCCACAGGUGGAAUUCCUUCUUCCUCUGGGAAACCUUAGUUCUGUUCUUAAGGCCUUGCAACUGAUUAGAUCAGACCUACACAGAUUUUAUGCCCCAUAGUCAUUUAGAAAGAUGGUAAAUGCAAGGCACAUUUGUUUAGAAAUUAAUGAAAGAUGAAAACAUGGGACUUUUGGACCCCAGAAAACCAAAAAGCAACUUCCAUUCCUAACCUUUCCUUCCUUUCUCCUUUAAGUGUACAGAAAAAUAAUUAAAUACUCAAGCCCUGUAAUCAACUAGAUUUGAAAUCUAGGUUAUGUAGCCUUUGGCAAUUUCAUAACCACUGUGAACCUCAGUCUCUUCAUCUACAGCAUGGGAAAAUAAUAAACCUUACCUCAGACAGUUGCUGUGAGGAUAAAAUGAGAAAUACAUGCAAAAGCACUUAGCACAAAGACAAGUAUAUUAUGAAUUUUUUUAAGUUGGCUA
Equus caballus (horse) is the source of this 2328-nucleotide long non-coding RNA. Lineage: Eukaryota; Metazoa; Chordata; Mammalia; Perissodactyla; Equidae. The record is from Ensembl.